CUAACACAGGCAAGUCGAACGAGGGCUUCGGCCCAAGUGGCGCACGGGUGAGUAACGCGUGGGAACCUGCCCUGUGGUACGGAAUAACUCCGGGAAACUGGAGCUAAUACCGUAUGUGUCCUGUGGGACAAAGAUUUAUCGCCACGGGAUGGGCCCGCGUAGGAUUAGCUUGUUGGUGGGGUAACGGCCUACCAAGGCAACGAUCCUUAGCUGGUCUGAGAGGAUGAUCAGCCACACUGGGACUGAGACACGGCCCAGACUCCUACGGGAGGCAGCAGUGGGGAAUAUUGGACAAUGGGCGCAAGCCUGAUCCAGCAAUGCCGCGUGAGUGAUGAAGGCCUUCGGGUUGUAAAGCUCUUUCGCACGCGACGAUGAUGACGGUAGCGUGAGAAGAAGCCCCGGCUAACUUCGUGCCACCAGCCGCGGUAAUACGAAGGGGGCUAGCGUUGUUCGGAAUUACUGGGCGUAAAGGGCGCGUAGGCGGUACUUCAAGUCAGGCGUGAAAGCCCCGGGCUCAACCUGGGAACCGCGCUUGAGACUGGAGAACUAGAGUUCGGGAGAGGAUGGUGGAAUUCCCAGUGUAGAGGUGAAAUUCGUAGAUAUUGGGAAGAACACCGAUGGCGAAGGCAGCCAUCUGGA
Molecule: ribosomal RNA, 639 nt
Filed under: uncultured Alphaproteobacteria bacterium
Lineage: Bacteria; Pseudomonadati; Pseudomonadota; Alphaproteobacteria
Description: bacterial SSU rRNA
Rfam family: Bacterial small subunit ribosomal RNA
Source: RNAcentral